UCGCUGGAGGACUAGUGCUUAUGCCAAAGCGCUCUCACCGCUAAAGCCCAGGUUCGAUCCCCAGCUACUGGG
This 72-nucleotide transfer RNA is filed under the name Pangasianodon hypophthalmus (striped catfish). Its description in RNAcentral is "tRNA-Glu". Lineage: Eukaryota; Metazoa; Chordata; Actinopteri; Siluriformes; Pangasiidae. The record is from RNAcentral.